This 242-nucleotide ribosomal RNA is filed under the name uncultured Staphylococcus sp. RNAcentral describes it as "partial 16S ribosomal RNA". It matches the Rfam family "Bacterial small subunit ribosomal RNA", at positions 99 to 334 of the family's 1533-position model. The record is from RNAcentral. Lineage: Bacteria; Bacillati; Bacillota; Bacilli; Caryophanales; Staphylococcaceae.
CGGACGGGUGAGUAACACGUGGAUAACCUACCGUAUAAGACUGGGAUAACUUCGGGAAACCGGAGCUAAUACCGGAUAAUAUUUUGAACCGCAUGGUUCAAAAGUGAAAGACGGUCUUGCUGUCACUUAUAGAUGGAUCCGCGCUGCAUUAGCUAGUUGGUAAGGUAACGGCUUACCAAGGCAACGAUGCAUAGCCGACCUGAGAGGGUGAUCGGCCACACUGGAACUGAGACACGGUCCAG